CUCAAGGCUAACCCGGGGGCUUCGCCACAUUGACUUGCUUCACAUUAAGUCCAUCAUCGCAGGAACUCACCCGCUAGGACCGUCCUUCGGGUUUACUCCAACCCGUGAUGCAUAACUCCGGAGCGCAUCGCCCGAGGGGGAGCGACCGCCCUCGAGCACGGAACUCAUAGCAAGUAUGAUCAUAUCCUUAACUCAAAGGAUUUAUAAGUUCAAUCUUGACUUUACACUAGCUCUAGUGUUCUUUCAUCACUUUAUGUUGCUAACUCUAGCAAUCAUUGUUCUUUACUUUUCUUUUACUUUUGCCAUCUUUAGCAUUCUUGUUCUUUACAUUUCUUGUUCUUAUUGCCCCACUUUACUUUAACUUUACACAUAUUGUCACUUUCAUCAUUCUUUACAUCACUUUGGUUCUUUGGCUCACACUAAUUCUAGUGUCACUUUACUUUACAUUUUCAAAUGCCACUCGAUCUAUGUCAUAGUGUCACUCUGUUCUUUUGCUCACUUUGGGUGCUCACUUUUCUCUCAUGCAUACACAUAGGGUUCUCGACAUUCACAUAGUUCUUAUUCAUCUUAUUAUGCAAGUUGUACUCACAAUCAUGCAACAUCACAUUUUCAUCAUUACUUUACCGUAAAAUGCAUGCAACAAUAUAUAUACACAUGCUCAAAUGAAUGACUCAUUAGGCAUAGAGAGAAGUUCAAUGAGUUUGAGAAGCACCACCCACCUCGUAGGUCUAUUUAGGUGCUCCGACGAAUUUCUUGAGAUUUAUAGGCUCCUCGUUCUUCACCUGCGGCAAAACGAACCCUUAUUAGGUCAUUUUGCCCAUAACUUUUGAUUGUCCUUUCGUAUACCUCAACGGAGCGCACCAACGCGUUCGUUGGGUCCCCAAUUAGGUUCUUGGAGGGUCAAUUGCACUUAGAAAUCCUCAUGAGCAAAAGCCCC
Molecule: long non-coding RNA, 937 nt
Filed under: Ananas comosus (pineapple)
Lineage: Eukaryota; Viridiplantae; Streptophyta; Magnoliopsida; Poales; Bromeliaceae
Description: long non-coding RNA (ACOM_LNC040380)
Source: RNAcentral